UUAACAAAAACAUGUCUUUUUGAGUUAUUUUUAAAGUCUGACCUGCCCACUGAAGUUAUUUAAAUGGCCGCAGUAUUUUAACUGUGCAAAGGUAGCAUAAUCAUUAGUCUUUUAAUUGAAGGCUGGUAUGAACGGUUGGACGAGGUAUAAGCUGUUUCAUGUAAAUUUAUAAUAGAAUUUUAUAUUUUAGUUAAAAAGCUAAAAUUUAAUUAAAAGACGAGAAGACCCUAUAAAUCUUUAUACUUUAUGCUGUUUAAGGGGUUUGGAUUUAUUUUAUUUUUAUAGCUUAAAGUAUUUUGUUGGGGUGAUGUUAAAAUUUAAUAAACUUUUAAUUAUUUAAAAUCAUUAAUUUAUGAGUUAUUGAUCCAUUAAUAGUGAUUAUAAGAUUAAGUUACUUUAGGGAUAACAGCGUAAUUUUUUUGGAGAGUUCAUAUCAAUAAAAAAGUUUGCGACCUCGAUGUUGGAUUAAGAUAUAUUUUUAGGUGUAGCUGCUUAAAUGUUAAGUCUGUUCGACUUUUAAAUUCUUGCGUGAUCUGAGUUC
Molecule: ribosomal RNA, 541 nt
Filed under: Bactrocera enochra
Lineage: Eukaryota; Metazoa; Arthropoda; Insecta; Diptera; Tephritidae
Description: partial 16S ribosomal RNA
Rfam family: Bacterial large subunit ribosomal RNA
Source: RNAcentral